This 253-nucleotide ribosomal RNA is filed under the name uncultured bacterium. Its description in RNAcentral is "partial 16S ribosomal RNA". It matches the Rfam family "Bacterial small subunit ribosomal RNA", at positions 524 to 776 of the family's 1533-position model. The record is from RNAcentral.
UACGAAGGGGGCUAGCGUUGUUCGGAAUUACUGGGCGUAAAGCGCACGUAGGCGGAUUUGUUAGUCAGGGGUGAAAUCCCGGGGCUCAACCUCGGAACUGCCUUUGAUACUGCAAGUCUUGAGUCCGGAAGAGGUGAGUGGAAUUCCUAGUGUAGAGGUGAAAUUCGUAGAUAUUAGGAGGAACACCAGUGGCGAAGGCGGCUCACUGGUCCGGUACUGACGCUGAGGUGCGAAAGCGUGUGGAGCAAACAGG